AGCGUUGUUCGGAAUUACUGGGCGUAAAGCGCGCGUAGGCGGAUCUGCAAGUCGGUGGUGAAAUCCCGAGGCUCAACCUCGGAACUGCCUUCGAUACUGCGGGUCUCGAGUCCGGGAGAGGUGAGUGGAAUUCCUAGUGUAGAGGUGAACUUCGUAGAUAUUAGGAAGAACACCAGUGGCGAAGGCGGCUCACUGGCCCGGUACUGACGCUGAGGCGCGAAAGCGUGGGGAGCAAACAGG
This 240-nucleotide ribosomal RNA is filed under the name uncultured bacterium. RNAcentral describes it as "partial 16S ribosomal RNA". It matches the Rfam family "Bacterial small subunit ribosomal RNA", at positions 537 to 776 of the family's 1533-position model. The record is from RNAcentral.